Molecule: ribosomal RNA, 562 nt
Filed under: uncultured bacterium
Lineage: Bacteria
Description: bacterial SSU rRNA
Rfam family: Bacterial small subunit ribosomal RNA
Source: RNAcentral
CCUACGGGAGGCAGCAGUGGGGAAUCUUGGACAAUGGGCGCAAGCCUGAUCCAGCCAUGCCGCGUGAGUGAUGAAGGCCUUAGGGUCGUAAAGCUCUUUCGCCAGGGAUGAUAAUGACAGUACCUGGUAAAGAAACCCCGGCUAACUCCGUGCCAGCAGCCGCGGUAAUACGGAGGGGGUUAGCGUUGUUCGGAAUUACUGGGCGUAAAGCGCGCGUAGGCGGGUUGUUAAGUUAGAGGUGAAAUCCCGGGGCUCAACCCCGGAACUGCCUUUAAUACUGGCAACCUAGAGUUCGAGAGAGGUGAGUGGAAUUCCGAGUGUAGAGGUGAAAUUCGUAGAUAUUCGGAGGAACACCAGUGGCGAAGGCGGCUCACUGGCUCGAUACUGACGCUGAGGUGCGAAAGUGUGGGGAGCAAACAGGAUUAGAUACCCUGGUAGUCCACACCGUAAACGAUGAAUGCCAGUCGUCGGGUAGCAUGCUAUUCGGUGACACACCUAACGGAUUAAGCAUUCCGCCUGGGGAGUACGGUCGCAAGAUUAAAACUCAAAGGAAUUGACGGGG